GCAUUGAAAUACUGGUUCCAGUUCGAUCAGCGAAGUUAAGCAAUUUGAGCCUGGUCAGUACCUAGAUAGAUGACUGCUUGGGAAUUCCAGGUGCUGUAAG
Molecule: non-coding RNA, 100 nt
Organism: Acanthosepion pharaonis
Lineage: Eukaryota; Metazoa; Mollusca; Cephalopoda; Sepiida; Sepiidae
Source: the annotation of a GenBank genome assembly